This 558-nucleotide long non-coding RNA is filed under the name Pan troglodytes (chimpanzee). RNAcentral describes it as "long non-coding RNA NONPTRT005269". Lineage: Eukaryota; Metazoa; Chordata; Mammalia; Primates; Hominidae. The record is from RNAcentral.
UUUGGAGGCUCUGGUGAUAAGGGGAACUGCUUCCAGCAGAAAACAAAGUCAUGGCGGUGUGAAACUGAGACCACCCAGUUAGGGCUUUACGUGCCAUGGGAACCACAUGCAGAUGAGGUGGUUGGGUGAACCGUUCAAGGUGCUGUAGCUUUCAGGUCAUUGACUAACAACAUCAACAAUGAAAUGAAUCUGAGAAAACAGGAAAUUGAGAGCAAGAGAAAAAAGUGUUAAUUAUACUGAUUUUGUGUAAGACCCCUUUGAACACAUUUUUAAAAAAUCAAAUAGAAGGUGCCCAGGUCCACUGUGCCUUGUGGAUAUUUGUCUUGUAUAUCCUAGAGAUCUACGCAUUCAUGUGGGAAUUGAAAAGGACCCACAUUUUACUAGAAGCAUCGUUCAUUUUUGCCUCAAAACAAACAAUGCCCACAUGUCAGAAGAACUUUCACAAUUCACAGGAACAGUGACCUAAUUAACCAACCAUAAAAUUGCCAAAUCCCUACUUCUCAUUGUUUAAUAUGCUUAGAAAACCCAUUCAAAUUGUGAAUUAUCAAGUGAGCUUAC